This 261-nucleotide ribosomal RNA is filed under the name uncultured bacterium. RNAcentral describes it as "partial 16S ribosomal RNA". It matches the Rfam family "Bacterial small subunit ribosomal RNA", at positions 524 to 784 of the family's 1533-position model. The record is from RNAcentral.
UACGAGGGGUGCAAGCGUUAAUCGGAAUUACUGGGCGUAAAGCGCGCGUAGGCGGCUUGAUAAGUCGGAUGUGAAAGCCCUGGGCUCAACCUGGGAACUGCAUUUGUGACUGCAUUGCUGGAGUGCGGCAGAGGGGGAUGGAAUUCCGCGUGUAGCAGUGAAAUGCGUAGAUAUGCGGAGGAACACCGAUGGCGAAGGCAAUCCCCUGGGCCUGCACUGACGCUCAUGCACGAAAGCGUGGGGAGCAAACAGGAUUAGAAC